GACGUAGGGCGCGAGCGUUGUCCGGAUUUAUUGGGCGUAAAGAGCUCGUAGGCGGCUCGUUGCGUCCAUCGUGAAAACUCAGGGCUUAACUCUGAGCUUGCGGUGGAUACGGGCGGGCUAGAGUUCGGUAGGGGAGACUGGAAUUCCUGGUGUAGCGGUGAAAUGCGCAGAUAUCAGGAGGAACACCGGUGGCGAAGGCGGGUCUCUGGGCAGUAACUGACGCUGAGGAGCGAAAGCGUGGGGAGCGAACAGG
RNAcentral lists this ribosomal RNA (253 nucleotides) under uncultured bacterium. Its description in RNAcentral is "partial 16S ribosomal RNA". It matches the Rfam family "Bacterial small subunit ribosomal RNA", at positions 524 to 776 of the family's 1533-position model. The record is from RNAcentral.